AGAACGAACGCUGGCGGCAUGCCUAACACAUGCAAGUCGAACGAGACCUUCGGGUCUAGUGGCGCACGGGUGCGUAACGCGUGGGAAUCUGCCCUUGGGUACGGAAUAACAGCGAGAAAUUGCUGCUAAUACCGUAUAAUGACUUCGGUCCAAAGAUUUAUCGCCCAGGGAUGAGCCCGCGUAGGAUUAGCUUGUUGGUGAGGUAGAGCUCACCAAGGCGACGAUCCUUAGUCUGGUCGUGAGAGGAUGAUCAGACCACACCUGGGACUAGAGACACGCCCGAGACUCCUACGGGA
RNAcentral lists this ribosomal RNA (296 nucleotides) under uncultured soil bacterium. Its description in RNAcentral is "partial 16S ribosomal RNA". It matches the Rfam family "Bacterial small subunit ribosomal RNA", at positions 26 to 346 of the family's 1533-position model. The record is from RNAcentral.